Molecule: transfer RNA, 73 nt
Filed under: Canis lupus familiaris (dog)
Lineage: Eukaryota; Metazoa; Chordata; Mammalia; Carnivora; Canidae
Also listed under: 1 other name
Rfam family: tRNA
About the family: Transfer RNA (tRNA) molecules are approximately 80 nucleotides in length. Their secondary structure includes four short double-helical elements and three loops (D, anti-codon, and T loops).
Source: Rfam by way of RNAcentral
GCUUGGCUGGCUCAGUCAGUAGAGCAUGUGACUCUUGAUCUCAGGGUCAUGAGUUCCAGCCCCAUGUUGGGUG